Molecule: ribosomal RNA, 843 nt
Filed under: uncultured Gammaproteobacteria bacterium
Lineage: Bacteria; Pseudomonadati; Pseudomonadota; Gammaproteobacteria
Description: bacterial SSU rRNA
Rfam family: Bacterial small subunit ribosomal RNA
Source: RNAcentral
GCUGGCGGCAUGCUUAACACAUGCAAGUCGAACGGAAACGAUGGAAGCUUGCUUCCAGGCGUCGAGUGGCGAACGGGUGAGUAAUGCUUGGGAAUCUGCCUAAUAGUGGGGAACAACUCGGGGAAACUCGGGCUAAUACCGCAUAAUCUCUUCGGAGGAAAGGGGGCCUCUACAUGUAAGCUCUCGCUAAUAGAUGAGCCCAAGUCAGAUUAGCUUGUUGGUAAGGUAAUGGCUUACCAAGGCUACGAUCUGUAGCUGGUCUGAGAGGAUGAUCAGCCACACUGGGACUGAGACACGGCCCAGACUCCUACGGGAGGCAGCAGUGGGGAAUAUUGCACAAUGGGCGAAAGCCUGAUGCAGCAAUGCCGCGUGUGUGAAGAAGGCUCUAGGGUUGUAAAGCACUUUCAAUAAGGAAGAAAAGCAUAAAGUUAAUAACUUUAUGUAUUGACAUUACUUAUACAAGAAGCACCGGCUAAUUCCGUGCCAGCAGCCGCGGUAAUACGGAAGGUGCAAGCGUUAAUCGGAAUUACUGGGCGUAAAGCGCGCGUAGGCUGUUAUUUAAGUCGGAUGUGAAAUCCUCGGGCUCAACCUGGGAACUGCAUCCGAAACUGAAUAACUAGAGUAUGGGAGAGGUAAGUAGAAUUUCCGGUGUAGCGGUGAAAUGCGUAGAUAUCGGAAGGAAUACCAGUGGCGAAGGCGGCUUACUGGACCAAUACUGACGCUGAGGUGCGAAAGCGUGGGGAGCGAACAGGAUUAGAUACCCUGGUAGUCCACGCCGUAAACGAUGAGAACUAGAUGUUGGGAGGGUUAGCCUCUCAGUGUCGCAGCUAACGCAUUAAGUUC